RNAcentral lists this ribosomal RNA (467 nucleotides) under uncultured bacterium. Its description in RNAcentral is "bacterial SSU rRNA". It matches the Rfam family "Bacterial small subunit ribosomal RNA", at positions 30 to 483 of the family's 1533-position model. The record is from RNAcentral.
AUUGAACGCUGGCGGCAGGCCUAACACAUGCAAGUCGAGCGGCAGCGGAAAGUAGCUUGCUACUUUGCCGGCGAGCGGCGGACGGGUGAGUAAUGUCUGGGAAACUGCCUGAUGGAGGGGGAUAACUACUGGAAACGGUAGCUAAUACCGCAUAACGUCGCAAGACCAAAGAGGGGGACCUUCGGGCCUCUUGCCAUCAGAUGUGCCCAGAUGGGAUUAGCUAGUAGGUGGGGUAAUGGCUCACCUAGGCGACGAUCCCUAGCUGGUCUGAGAGGAUGACCAGCCACACUGGAACUGAGACACGGUCCAGACUCCUACGGGAGGCAGCAGUGGGGAAUAUUGCACAAUGGGCGCAAGCCUGAUGCAGCCAUGCCGCGUGUAUGAAGAAGGCCUUCGGGUUGUAAAGUACUUUCAGCGGGGAGGAAGGUGUUGAGGUUUAAUAACCUCAGCAAUUGACGUUACCCGCA